CCUUUGGAGCGUUAUACCAAACGAGAGUAGUUUUGUGAACGAGCGUAAGUGAGUGAACAGCAAAAUCGGACGCGAUGAAUUAGGAA
This 86-nucleotide non-coding RNA is filed under the name unclassified sequences. Its description in RNAcentral is "RAGATH-18 RNA". It matches the Rfam family "RAGATH-18 RNA". From Rfam's summary of the family: Actinobacteria, Firmicutes, Fusobacteria, Thermotogae (1 example). Nearby to self-cleaving ribozyme genes The record is from Rfam by way of RNAcentral.